This 76-nucleotide transfer RNA is filed under the name Microbulbifer elongatus. RNAcentral's name for it is "tRNA-Lys". It matches the Rfam family "tRNA". Rfam says of the family: Transfer RNA (tRNA) molecules are approximately 80 nucleotides in length. Lineage: Bacteria; Pseudomonadati; Pseudomonadota; Gammaproteobacteria; Cellvibrionales; Microbulbiferaceae. The record is from RNAcentral. RNAcentral also lists the same sequence under 24 other names.
GGGUCGUUAGCUCAGUUGGUAGAGCAGUUGGCUUUUAACCAAUUGGUCGCUGGUUCGAGUCCAGCACGACCCACCA